RNAcentral lists this ribosomal RNA (411 nucleotides) under Mantidactylus melanopleura. RNAcentral describes it as "partial 16S ribosomal RNA". It matches the Rfam family "Bacterial large subunit ribosomal RNA", at positions 2024 to 2597 of the family's 2925-position model. Lineage: Eukaryota; Metazoa; Chordata; Amphibia; Anura; Mantellidae. The record is from RNAcentral.
UUUUUCAAAUCAGUGAAAUUAAUCUCCCCGUGAAGAAGCGGGGAUACUCAUAUAAGACGAGAAGACCCCAUGGAGCUUCAAACCCAACUACACCCCUAGCUCUUAUAGCCCCACAACCCCCCCCUAGGCGCCGUGUGCUUGGUUUUAGGUUGGGGCGACCGCGGAGUACAAUAAAACCUCCACAAUGAACGGGAACACCCCCUUAUCUGAGGGCCACACCCCCUAAGAAUUAGAACACUAACAUAAAAUGAUCCAUUACUUGAUCAAUGAACCAAGUUACCCUGGGGAUAACAGCGCAAUCCAUUUCAAGAGCCCCUAUCGACAAAUGGGUUUACGACCUCGAUGUUGGAUCAGGGUACCCCAGUGGUGCAGCAGCUACUAACGGUUCGUUUGUUCAACGAUUAAAACCCU